CCCUUAGAUGUUCUGGGCGGCCCGCGCACUACAAUGGCGUGUGCAGCGAGUGCCGAAGUAGAGUUUUCCGAGGUGUUCUUGCAAUGCUCGUUUUGAUGGGGAUAGACCCUUGCAACUGUUGGUUUUGAACGAGGAAUUCCUUGUAAGCAUGGUUUAUCAUCCGACGCUGAAUGCGUCCCUGCCCUUUGUACACACCGCCCGUCGCUCCUACCGAUGAGUCGUCCGGUGAAGUUCGUAGACCUCGUGAUCGCGGAUCACUGGGGGAAGCAAAAUGAACCUCGCGGUUUAGAGGAAGGAGAAGUCGUAACA
This 309-nucleotide ribosomal RNA is filed under the name uncultured eukaryote. RNAcentral describes it as "partial 18S ribosomal RNA". It matches the Rfam family "Eukaryotic small subunit ribosomal RNA", at positions 1470 to 1796 of the family's 1831-position model. The record is from RNAcentral.